UACGUAGGCAGCGAGCGUUGUUCGGAGUUACUGGGCGUAAAGGGUGUGUAGGCGGUUCUUUAAGUUUGGUGUGAAAUCUCCCGGCUCAACCGGGAGGGUGCGCCGAAUACUGAGGGACUAGAGUACGGGAGAGGAAAGUGGAAUUCCUGGUGUAGCGGUGAAAUGCGUAGAUAUCAGGAGGAACACCGGUGGUGUAGACGGCUUUCUGGACUGCAACUGACACUGAGGAACGAAAGCCAGGGGAGCAAACGGG
RNAcentral lists this ribosomal RNA (253 nucleotides) under uncultured bacterium. RNAcentral's name for it is "partial 16S ribosomal RNA". It matches the Rfam family "Bacterial small subunit ribosomal RNA", at positions 524 to 776 of the family's 1533-position model. The record is from RNAcentral.